UUGACGGGGAGCACUACAACGGGUGGAGCCUGCGGUUUAAUUGGAUUCAACGCCGGAAAUCUCACCGGGGCGACAGCAAUAUGAAGGUCAGGCUGAAGACCUUACCGGAUUAGCUGAGAGGUGGUGCAUGGCCGUCGUCAGUUCGUACUGUGAAGCAUCCUGUUAAGUCAGGCAACGAGCGAGACCCACGUCCACAGUUGCCAGCAUACCCUCCGGGGUGAUGGGUACACUGUGGAGACCGCCGCUGCUAAAGCGGAGGAAGGAAUGGGCAACGGUAGGUCAGUAUGCCCCGAAUCUCCCGGGCUACACGCGGGCUACAAUGGUUGGUACAAUGGGCAUCUACCCCGAAAGGGGAAGGAAAUCUCUUAAAGCCAAUCGUAGUUCGGAUUGAGGGCUGCAACUCGCCCUCAUGAAGCUGGAAUCCGUAGUAAUCGCGUUUCAACAGAACGCGGUGAAUACGUCCCUGCUCCUU
RNAcentral lists this ribosomal RNA (472 nucleotides) under uncultured Methanosaeta sp. RNAcentral's name for it is "bacterial SSU rRNA". It matches the Rfam family "Archaeal small subunit ribosomal RNA", at positions 871 to 1337 of the family's 1478-position model. Lineage: Archaea; Methanobacteriati; Methanobacteriota; Methanomicrobia; Methanotrichales; Methanotrichaceae. The record is from RNAcentral.